AAAUGAAUAGACGGGGGCCCGCACAAGCGGAGGAACAUGUGGUUUAAUUCGAUGAUACGCGAGGAACCUUACCCGGGCUUGAACUGCAGCUGCAUAGUUUAGAGAUAGACUUUCCCUUCGGGGCUGCUGUGGAGGUGCUGCAUGGUUGUCGUCAGCUCGUGCCGUGAGGUGUCGGCUUAAGUGCCAUAACGAGCGCAACCCUUUUUCUUGUUUGCCAUCAGGUUAUGCUGGGCACUCCAAGGAUACUGCCAUCGCAAGAUGUGAGGAAGGUGGGGAUGACGUCAAAUCAGCACGGCCCUUACGUCCGGGGCUACACACGUGUUACAAUGGUAGGUACAGAGAGUUGCUACCUGGUGACAGGAUGCUAAUCUAUAAAACCUAUCUCAGUUCGGACUGGAGUCUGCAACCCGACUCCACGAAGCUGGAUUCGCUAGUAAUCGCGCAUCAGCCAUGGCGCGGUGAAUACGUUCCCGGGCCUUGUACACACCGCCCGU
Molecule: ribosomal RNA, 494 nt
Filed under: uncultured bacterium
Lineage: Bacteria
Description: bacterial SSU rRNA
Rfam family: Bacterial small subunit ribosomal RNA
Source: RNAcentral